GAUGAACGCUGGCGGCAUGCCUAAUACAUGCAAGUCGAACGAGAGGAAAGGAAAGCUUGCUUUCCUGAAUCUAGUGGCGAACGGGUGAGUAACACGUAGGUAACCUGCCCAUGUGGCCCGGGAUAACUUCUAGGAAACGUAUGACUAAAACCGGAUAGGUAGCAGACAAGCAUUUGACUGCUAUUAAAGUGGCCUUGGCCAUAGAACUAUGGAUGGACCUGCGGUGCAUUAGCUGGUU
RNAcentral lists this ribosomal RNA (238 nucleotides) under uncultured bacterium. RNAcentral describes it as "partial 16S ribosomal RNA". It matches the Rfam family "Bacterial small subunit ribosomal RNA", at positions 28 to 250 of the family's 1533-position model. The record is from RNAcentral.